RNAcentral lists this ribosomal RNA (536 nucleotides) under uncultured Aquificales bacterium. RNAcentral describes it as "bacterial SSU rRNA". It matches the Rfam family "Bacterial small subunit ribosomal RNA", at positions 91 to 657 of the family's 1533-position model. Lineage: Bacteria; Pseudomonadati; Aquificota; Aquificia; Aquificales. The record is from RNAcentral.
UCGACCGGCAAACGGGAGAGUAACACGUAGCUUACCUACCCAUAGGUUGGGGAUAACAUCCCGAAAGGGGUGCUAAUACCCAAUAAUGAGGAGACUCCAAAGCCCUUAUGGGUGCCUAUGGAUGGGGCUGCGUCCCAUCAGCUUGUUGGUGAGGUAAUGGCUCACCAAGGCUACGACGGGUAACCGGUCUGAGAGGAUAACCGGUCACAGUGGGACUGAGACACGGCCCGCACCCCUACGGGGGGCAGCAGUGGGGAAUAUUGGGCAAUGGCUGAAAGGCUGACCCAGCAACGCCGCGUGGUGGAUGAAGCCCUUCGGGGUGUAAACACCUUUUCUGGGGGAAGAUAAUGACGGUACCCCAGGAAUAAGGGACGGCUAACUACGUGCCAGCAGCCGCGGUAAUACGUAGGUCCCAAACGUUGCGCGAAUUUACUGGGCGUAAAGAGUCCGUANNCGGUUUAGCAAGUGGUUGGUGAAAUUUCACGGCUCAACCGUGAAACUGCCUUCCAAACUGCUAAACUUGAGGCAGGGAGAGG